This 253-nucleotide ribosomal RNA is filed under the name uncultured bacterium. RNAcentral's name for it is "partial 16S ribosomal RNA". It matches the Rfam family "Bacterial small subunit ribosomal RNA", at positions 524 to 776 of the family's 1533-position model. The record is from RNAcentral.
UACGUAGGGUCCGAGCGUCGUCCGGAAUUAUUGGGCGUAAAGGGCUCGUAGGCGGUUUGUUGCGUCGGGAGUGAAAACACCGGGCUUAACUCGGUGCUUGCUUUCGAUACGGGCAGACUUGAGGUAUUCAGGGGAGAAUGGAAUUCCCGGUGUAGCGGUGAAAUGCGCAGAUAUCAGGAGGAACACCGGUGGCGAAGGCGGUUCUCUGGGAAUUACCUGACGCUGAGGAGCGAAAGUGUGGGGAGCGAACAGG